AUUGAACGCUGGCGGCAUGCCUUACACAUGCAAGUCGAACGGCAGCGGACCUUCGGGUGCCGGCGAGUGGCGAACGGGUGAGUAAUAUAUCGGAACGUACCUUUCAGUGGGGGAUAACGUAGCGAAAGUUACGCUAAUACCGCAUAUUCUGUGAGCAGGAAAGCAGGGGAUCGCAAGACCUUGCGCUGAUUGAGCGGCCGAUAUCAGAUUAGCUAGUUGGUGAGGUAAAGGCUCACCAAGGCGACGAUCUGUAGCGGGUCUGAGAGGAUGAUCCGCCACACUGGAACUGAGACACGGUCCAGACUCCUACGGGAGGCAGCAGUGGGGAAUUUUGGACAAUGGGGGCAACCCGUGAUCCAGCCAUUCCGCGUGAGUGAAGAAGGCCUCGGUUGUAAGAUCUUACUAGUCAGGAACGAAACGGUAGGUCCGUAACUACGG
Molecule: ribosomal RNA, 438 nt
Filed under: uncultured bacterium
Lineage: Bacteria
Description: bacterial SSU rRNA
Rfam family: Bacterial small subunit ribosomal RNA
Source: RNAcentral